CAGCCACAUCAUAUUGAAACAUUGCUUCACAUAUGAUCACCGAAGUUAAGCAAUGUUUAGCCUGGUGAGUACUAAGAUAGGUGACCAUUUAGGAAUACCAGGUGCUGUAA
Acanthosepion pharaonis is the source of this 110-nucleotide non-coding RNA. The record is from the annotation of a GenBank genome assembly. NCBI's taxonomy places the organism in Eukaryota, Metazoa, Mollusca, Cephalopoda, Sepiida, Sepiidae.